RNAcentral lists this ribosomal RNA (237 nucleotides) under uncultured bacterium. Its description in RNAcentral is "partial 16S ribosomal RNA". It matches the Rfam family "Bacterial small subunit ribosomal RNA", at positions 118 to 347 of the family's 1533-position model. The record is from RNAcentral.
UGAGGAACAUGACCUUCGGCGGGGGAUAGCCGGCCCAACGGCCGGGUAAUACCGCGUACGACCACAUGGGGACAUCCCUGAGUGGUGAAAGCAGCAAUGCGCCGAUGGAGUGCCUCGCGGCCUAUCAGCUAGUUGGUGAGGUAACGCUCACCAAGGCAACGACGGGUANCUGGUCUGAGAGGAUGGCCAGCCACAGUUGGGACUGGAGACGCGGCCCAGACCUCGUAACCGGGGAGG